Molecule: transfer RNA, 104 nt
Organism: Laetiporus sulphureus 93-53
Lineage: Eukaryota; Fungi; Basidiomycota; Agaricomycetes; Polyporales; Laetiporaceae
Rfam family: tRNA
About the family: Transfer RNA (tRNA) molecules are approximately 80 nucleotides in length. Their secondary structure includes four short double-helical elements and three loops (D, anti-codon, and T loops).
Source: Rfam
GCCUUGGUGGCUCAGUUGGUUAGAGCGCAGGUCUCAUAUGCUAUAUGAGGUUCUAACUAGGAACUGCAAUCCUGAGGUCGUGAGUUCGAUCCUCACCCGGGGCA